This is a long non-coding RNA of Gossypium arboreum, 447 nucleotides long. RefSeq lists it as uncharacterized. The record is from RefSeq and is a predicted model, not a curated record. NCBI's taxonomy places the organism in Eukaryota, Viridiplantae, Streptophyta, Magnoliopsida, Malvales, Malvaceae. The transcript is spliced from 2 exons.
CAUGGCCGAAAUUCACAAGGGGAAACCAUGGCUAGGGUUUUUCAAGCUUCCAAGAUCGAUUUGCCAUCAAGCUAGCUCGGGUUGGAGAUCGCUGGAGAUCCUAUCACACUAUCAAGCUAUCAUUUUAAGUGUUGAUGAAUUCAAGUAUUUUGAGUUAUGGCAUGUAUUUGGUCAUUUCGUUAUAUGCAUCAUAUGAUUUUAACCAAUGUAAUGGCUUGUAAUCGUCAAAGGCUUGUUUUGCUAUAUGGCCAUGUAAGUUGGCUUAUAGUGGUAACAUGAUUGUAAGGCUAAGUAUAUUUAUAUAUGUGUCAAUGUCUAUGGUGUAAUGAUCAUGGUAUGCUUGGUGAACGUGAAAUAUUUGGAAAUGUGAUUUAUGACAGGAUUAUGUAAUGUUUGGAAUUGUGACCUAUUGAUGAGAUGAAGAAGUUGAGUAUAAUUUGGUAACUA